UGCCCUGUUUAACAAAAACAUGGCUUUAUGUAUUUAUAUAAAGUCUAACCUGCCCACUGAAAUUUUUAAAGGGCCGCAGUAUCUUAACUGUGCAAAGGUAGCAUAAUCAUUUGUCUUUUAAUUGAAGGCUUGAAUGAACGGUAGAACGAGAAAUAAUCUGUCUCUUUUAAAAAAAUUGAAUUUUACUUUUAAAUGAAAAGGUUUAAAUAAAUUAAAAAGACGAUAAGACCCUAUAAAUCUUUAUAUUAAUAAUUAUUUUUUUUAAUUAUAAAUAAAUAAAAAAUAAUAAUUAUAAUAUUUUAUUGGGGAGAUAUAAAUAUAAUUUUUAACUAUUUUAUUUUUAUAACAAUAAUAUUUGAUUUAUUAUAAUGAUCCUUCUUAAAGAUUACAAAAUCAAGUUACUUUAGGGAUAACAGCGUUAUCUUUUUUAAGAGUCCAUAUCGAAAAAAAAGUUUGCGACCUCGAUGUUGAAUUAAAAAAAUCCAUAUAAACGCAAAAGUUAUAAAGGAAAGUCUGUUCGACUUUUAAAAUUUUACAUGAUUUGAGUUC
This 549-nucleotide ribosomal RNA is filed under the name Kiwa tyleri. RNAcentral describes it as "partial 16S ribosomal RNA". It matches the Rfam family "Bacterial large subunit ribosomal RNA", at positions 1797 to 2612 of the family's 2925-position model. Lineage: Eukaryota; Metazoa; Arthropoda; Malacostraca; Decapoda; Kiwaidae. The record is from RNAcentral.